This 490-nucleotide ribosomal RNA is filed under the name uncultured bacterium. RNAcentral describes it as "partial 16S ribosomal RNA". It matches the Rfam family "Bacterial small subunit ribosomal RNA", at positions 29 to 507 of the family's 1533-position model. The record is from RNAcentral.
AGUGAACGCUGGCGGUAGGCCUAACACAUGCGAGUCGAACGGCAGCACAGGAGAGCUUGCUCUCUGGGUGGCGAGUGGCGGACGGGUGAGGAAUACAUCGGAAUCUGCCCAGUCGUGGGGGAUAACGUAGGGAAACUUACGCUAAUACCGCAUACGACCUUCGGGUGAAAGAGGGGGAUCGCAAGACCUCUCGCGAUUGGAUGAGCCGAUGUCGGAUUAGCUAGUUGGCGGGGUAAUGGCCCACCAAGGCGACGAUCCGUAGCUGGUCUGAGAGGAUGAUCAGCCACACUGGAACUGAGACACGGUCCAGACUCCUACGGGAGGCAGCAGUGGGGAAUAUUGGACAAUGGGCGCAAGCCUGAUCCAGCCAUACCGCGUGGGUGAAGAAGGCCUUCGGGUUGUAAAGCCCUUUUGUUGGGAAAGAAAUCUUUCAGGCUAAUACCCUGGGAGGAUGACGGUACCCAAAGAAUAAGCACCGGCUAACUUCGUG